Molecule: ribosomal RNA, 254 nt
Filed under: uncultured bacterium
Lineage: Bacteria
Description: partial 16S ribosomal RNA
Rfam family: Bacterial small subunit ribosomal RNA
Source: RNAcentral
UACGAGGGGAGCAAGCGUUGUUCGGAUUUACUGGGCGUAAAGGGCGCGUAGGCGGCCACGACAAGUCACUUGUGAAAUCUCCGGGCUUAACUCGGAACGGUCAAGUGAUACUGUCGGGCUAGAGUACAGAAGGGGCAACUGGAAUUCCGGGUGUAGCGGUGGAAUGCGUAGAGAUCCGGAAGAACACCGGUGGCGAAGGCGGUCUGCUGGGGUCGAACUGACGCUGAGGCGCGACAGCGUGGGGAGCAAACAGG